Molecule: long non-coding RNA, 608 nt
Organism: Sorghum bicolor (sorghum)
Lineage: Eukaryota; Viridiplantae; Streptophyta; Magnoliopsida; Poales; Poaceae
Exons: 2
Source: RefSeq, a predicted model, not a curated record
UGAGGGAAAGAAAAAAAUAGUACCAUACCUCAGUCAUCCGGUGGUCUAUAAACGACCUCACACCUUUCUUCCCCAUGGACUUUUCUUCCCCUCUUCUCGCCUGCUCCCAUGCCCCCUUUCUAUCCCGCGGCGCCGACUCACCUCCACGAGAACCGCCGACUCCCAACGCCUGCUGCCCCGGUCUCCGUUGGGGUCGCCGGCAACGAGCUUCCACCAGGAGACAGGCGGCCAUGGCCACCUUCGAGCUGUACCGGAGGUCCACCAUCGGCAUGUGCCUCACCGAGAUGCUAGACGAGAUGAUCUCCAACGGCACCCACCCCGGAGCUCGCAAUUCAGGUCCUCGUCCAGUUCAACAAGGUGGAAAUGCUCCUCGUCUAAUUUUAUCUCGGUGUGUGGUUUUCCAAUUUGGCUAGCUAAUGGCAUAGUCCUAUACGGACUGGAGAUGUAAAGUGGUGGCAGAUGUCGGUUUGGCUAGUUCUAUACGGACCGGAGAUGUAAUCAGUUUGGAAGUGGUGGAAAGUGACGGCCAAGAAGAAAGAUCGACUGAAAUUUUGGCUCUUUAUAUAAUACUAGCAAAAAUGCCCGUGCAUUCCAACGGAAAAAAAAAA